This 1862-nucleotide unclassified non-coding RNA is filed under the name Hevea brasiliensis (rubber tree). Lineage: Eukaryota; Viridiplantae; Streptophyta; Magnoliopsida; Malpighiales; Euphorbiaceae. The record is from RNAcentral.
UUCUUUCCAUCCUCACAUACUUAACACCUCCCUUUCCUCUCUGGCCUCCCCAAACUGUUCCUCUCUCCCAUUGCCCACUCCUGCAUAUCAUAUAUCACCUCUGGCUUCAUUCAUGAGCUUUUAACCGGAACUUGACAAGCCAAAGCAUCAGGUACAUUCAUGGCGUUCUGCGUUUUAUUUUCGGAAAAAAAAUAAUUAGAUUACUUAAUUAUGUGUUUGAAUGCAGAUAUCAGCCUUAUAUCAAGAAUGGCUACCGAGAACAAAGUGAGCUUGAAGCUAUUGAUCGACAAGAAGGCGAACAAAGUCCUUUUCGCAGAAGCUGGAAAAGAUUUUGUAGAUUUCCUCUUCAUCCUUCUCUCUUUGCCUGUAGGUACUGUGAUUAGGCUGCUUAAAAAACCAGCAAUGGUUGGCUGUAUAGGAAAUCUUUACGAGAGCCUUGAAAACCUUAACGAAGCUUAUAUACAGCCAAAUCAAAGCAAGGACUCUCUUCUAAAACCCAAUGUGCCAUUAACCCAGCUCGCACAUGUGCCUCUCUUGCUGCCUGACACUCGUCCUCUAAAACCUGAGGCAGGACGAAAGUUGUAUGGUUGUUCUAAUAAUAGUAACCACCGGUGCGUUACCGAUCAGAGAGGUUCUCGUUGCAGUAACUGCGGUUCUUCAAUGACUUAUGAACUGCCGUUUAUUGGCACCAAUACAAAUAAUACAUCAGCUAGUGAUACAGCAACUAGUAAUAGUGAGGGAGGUUUGGUGAAGGGCCUGGUUACAUACAUGGUGACUGAUGAUUUGUCAGUGUCACCAUUGUCAAUGGUCUCUGGUGUUGCUCUGCUGAACAAGUUUAGUGUUAAGGGUUUUAGCGCACUUAAUGAGAAGAUGGUUGAGUUUGGCAUUGAUGAGGUAUGUUUAACUUCAACUCAUUACCUUUAGGAAUUUUUUAUUUUUUAUUUUUUUGUAGUCGAUAAGGAAAAUUAUGCUUUUAAUCGUUGAAUCAAGCUAAGCUAAAUGGCAAUAUAGCAUACAAUUAAUAUUGGUUUUAGCCCUUAAUUUUUUAUCUUAGCAGGGUCUGGAAUUGUUGAAGGCUUCUCUCCAGUCAAAAGCAGCUCUUACUAGUGUCUUCCUAGCUAAGGAUGAGAUCAAGGAUGCUGCAUCACCAAAUUGAAACUAUGUUGGAAUAUGAUCUUUCCUUGUUUUGAGGGAGUUGAUAAUUAGUUAUUUACCGUUGUCGAUUGCCCUGCCGUACUUUAUAUAUAAUUAAGAGUAAAUUGAUCUUGUUUUUGCACCAUCUUGGUUGGUAGUUGUUGAAGUUUCAAUUAACAUUUUCAUGAAUCUUACAACUGCUAAUUAAAUAUUUUCUUUUUGCUAUUUCCAUGUGCACUGAGAUUAAAUUCCUUGUUUGAGCACUAAGAAAUGGUUGAAUCAGUGGUGUGGAAUUGAACCUCAGGCGGAUUUUACCUAGAUCAGGGGGUUCGAAUCCUGGAAUUGUCAUUGUUGGGAAGGUUUUACCAAAAUACUACCCAGGCUCGACACUUUUUAGUGAUUAAUUAAACACCCUUAUAAGUAAAUGGCCAAAGCCAGCUGCAAUCAAGUGAAAGAGAAUUACAUUAACUCUGUUUUACUCUGUCUUGAAAUUUCUAUUUGUUCCAUGUAUGUACAGUUGAACACUUCACAUUAUAUAUAUAACAUUGCAAUCCCACCUCCACUUGAUCAUCCAUUAGAAUUUGGAUGGCAACUAAAAUUAUGUGCACUGUGAUCCAAUUCUUGUAUUUUAGGAAUUGCUUAUUCAAAAAAUUGAUCCAGGAAGCCAUUCAGCAAAUGAUCUGAGAGGGGAGAGGAAAGGAAAUAGAAAGGAUAGAGGGGAGGUUGAG